RNAcentral lists this ribosomal RNA (403 nucleotides) under bacterium. RNAcentral's name for it is "partial 16S ribosomal RNA". It matches the Rfam family "Bacterial small subunit ribosomal RNA", at positions 355 to 776 of the family's 1533-position model. The record is from RNAcentral.
GGGGGAAUAUUGCACAAGGGAGGGAACUCUGAUGCAGCGACGCCGCGUGAACGAAGAAGGCUUUCGAGUCGUAAAGUUCUUUUAUAUGGGAAGAUAAUGACGGUACCAUAAGAAAAAGCCGCGGGUAACUACGUGCAAGCAGCCGCGGUAAUACGUAGGGGGGUAGCGUUGUCCGGAAUCACUGGGCGUAAAGGGUUCGCAGGCGGAAAUGCAAGUCAGUUGUAAAAGGCAGUAGCUUAACUACUGUAAGCAUUUGAAACUGCAUAUCUUGAGAAGAGUAGAGGUAAGUGGAGUUUUUAGUGUAGCGGUGAAAUGCGUAGAUAUUAUAAUGAAGACCGCUGGCGAAGCCGACUUACUUGGCUCAUUCUGACGCUGAGGAGCGAAAGCGUGGGUAGCAGACAGG